CAGGGAAUCUUGCGCAAUGGGCGAAAGCCUGACGCAGCAACGCCGCGUGGGUGAUGAAGGCCUUCGGGUUGUAAAGCCCUUUUCUCGGUGAGGAUGAUGACGGUAGCCGAGGAAUAAGCACCGGCUAACUCCGUGCCAGCAGCCGCGGUAAGACGGAGGGUGCUAGCGUUGUUCGGAAUUACUGGGCGUAAAGGGCGCGUAGGCGGCCUGUUAAGUUGGAUGUGAAAGCCCGGGGCUCAACCUCGGAAUGGCAUCCGAUACUGGCGGGCUCGAGACCGGGAGAGGAGGGUGGAAUACCCAGUGUAGAGGUGAAAUUCGUAGAUAUUGGGUGGAACACCGGUGGCGAAAGCGGCUCUCUGGCCCGGUUCUGACGCUGAGGCGCGAAAGCGUGGGGAGCAAACAGGAUUAGAUACCCGCGUAGUCC
This 424-nucleotide ribosomal RNA is filed under the name uncultured prokaryote. Its description in RNAcentral is "bacterial SSU rRNA". It matches the Rfam family "Bacterial small subunit ribosomal RNA", at positions 355 to 796 of the family's 1533-position model. The record is from RNAcentral.